Molecule: non-coding RNA, 93 nt
Organism: Mycena leptocephala
Lineage: Eukaryota; Fungi; Basidiomycota; Agaricomycetes; Agaricales; Mycenaceae
Source: the annotation of a GenBank genome assembly
GCCUGGAUGGUGCAGUUGGUAGCACAACUGGUUUAGCUACAUGGUCUUGUUGCGUCCUAUCAGCUGCCGUCAGUUCGAUCCUGACUCCAGGCU